AUAUAACAGAAAUAAGUGCAAUAGAACUAACUAACUAUAUCUAAUUUUAAUAUCAUUUUAUAGAAUUUUUUUUUUGAAAAUUCUUAGUUAUAUAUUAUACUUUAUUUAUAUUAUAGCAUUAGUUAUAGCAGAUUAGAUUAAUCGUAUUAGAGCGGAUCGGUAUCGGUACUAAGGAAAGGAUAAGGAUGCAAUCCAGAUCAUAAUGAGACAUUUCUCUGCUUUCAUUCAGAAAGGGGGAGGUAGAAUGAAAAAAUAAAAAAAAAAUAAAUAUCGACCGUUCCAGUAUUCAAAAUCGCGCGGGAAAAUGAGAGAGGGGAAAGAUAUCUAUAUGUGGAAUAUCUCUAUCCAUAUUGAAUUGCAGAUACAUCAAUGAUAGAAUCAUUUCCGAUGGGACCAACCAAAUCGAAGUCCUCCGAUAGAGAUGAAAGAAUACGGACAAGAAAUAAAGAAGUAGACGCUUUUCGGUAUUAGGAAUCAGUAUCUAAUGAAUUCAAUGGUUCCGGCAUAAAUAAAUGAAAGAGGGGGAUGGU
RNAcentral lists this unclassified non-coding RNA (530 nucleotides) under Neocinnamomum mekongense. Its description in RNAcentral is "trnT-trnL intergenic spacer region". The record is from RNAcentral. Lineage: Eukaryota; Viridiplantae; Streptophyta; Magnoliopsida; Laurales; Lauraceae.